GGAAGGAUCAUUAUUGAACAACCAAGGUGCUGGGGCUGUUGCUGACCUAUGUCAUGCACGCCCUGGUGCUCUCAUACAAUCCAUCUCACCCCUUUGUGCAUUACUGCGUGGGUCCCCUUUUAGGGACUUGCGUUCUUUUUAAUAUAAACAUGUAUGUGUAGAAUGUCUUACUUUUGCAAUUAUAUGCAAUCAAUACAACUUUCAACAAUGGAUCUCUUGGCUCUUGCAUCAAUGAAGAACGUAGCGAAAUGCGAUAUGUAAUGUGAAUUGCAGAAUUCAGUGAAUCAUCGAAUCUUUGAAUGCACCUUGCGCCCUUUGGCAUUCCGAAGGGCACACCUGUUUGAGUGUUGUGACAUCCUCAACCUUUUUGGUUUCUUGACCAGAAAGGCUUGGACUUGGAAUUGCUGGCUUCUUGUUAAAGUGAGCUCCUCCUAAAUGAAUUAGUAGGGUCUGCUUUGCUGAUUCUUAACGUAAUAAGAUAUUUCUAUGUCUAGGGUUGAGUUAGAUCCUGCUUCUAACCGUCUUGCAAAAGACAAUGAAUAUAAAACCUUGACCUCAAAUCGGGUGAGACUACCUGCUGAACUUAAGCAUAUCAAUAAGUGGAGGAAAAGAAACUAACAAGGAUUCCCCUAGUAACUGCGAGUGAAGCGGGAAAAGCUCAAAUUUAAAAUCUGGUGGUCUUUGGCCAUCUGAGUUGUAAUUUAGAGAAGCAUCUUCCGCACUGGACUGUGCAUAAGUCUCCUGGAAUGGAGCAUCAUAGAGGGUGAGAAUCCUGUCUUUGGCACGGAGUCCUGGGGCUUCUAUGAUGCGCUCUUGAAGAGUCGAGUUGUUUGGGAAUGCAGCUCAAAAUGGGUGGUGAACUCCAUCUAAAGCUAAAUAUUGGCGAGAGACUGAUAGUGAACAAGUACCGUGAGGGAAAGAUGAAAAGCACUUUGGAAAGAGAGUGAAACAGUACAUGAAAUCGUUGAAAGGGAAACGCUUAAAGUCAGUUGCAUUGACCAAGACUCAGCCUUGCCUUGGCUUGAUGUACUUCUUGGCUGAUGGGUCAGCAUCAAUUUUGAUCCUUGGAUAAUGGCAAGGGAAAGGUAGCACCUUUAUAGGUGUGUUAUAGUCCUCUGUCGGAUGCAAGGGUUGGGAUUGAGGAACUCAGCAUGCACCUUUUGGUGUCAGGGCUUUGGCCCACAUUACAUGCUUAGGAUGCUGGCGUAAUGGCUUUAAAUGACCUGUCUUGAAACACAGACCAAGGAGUUUAACAUACCUGCAAGUGUUUGGGUGGAAAACCCAUGUGCGUAAUGAAAGUAAAAGUUGGGACCUCUGUCAUGGAGGGCACCGAUGCCCAGACCAGACCUUCUGUGAUGGCUCUGCGGUAGAGCAUGUAUGUUGGGACCCAAAAGAUGGUGAACUAUGCCUGAAUAGGGUGAAGCCAGAGAAAACUCUGGUGGAGGCUCAUAGCAAUUCUGACAUGCAAAUCGAUCGUCAAAUUUGGGUAUAGGGGCGAAAGACUAAUCGAACCAUCUAGUAGCUGGUUCCUGC
RNAcentral lists this unclassified non-coding RNA (1533 nucleotides) under uncultured fungus. Its description in RNAcentral is "sequence contains 18S rRNA gene, ITS1, 5.8S rRNA gene, ITS2, 28S rRNA gene". The stretch from base 551 to 1533 matches the Rfam family "Eukaryotic large subunit ribosomal RNA", at positions 1 to 961 of the family's 3401-position model. The record is from RNAcentral. Lineage: Eukaryota; Fungi.